RNAcentral lists this ribosomal RNA (464 nucleotides) under uncultured bacterium. Its description in RNAcentral is "partial 16S ribosomal RNA". It matches the Rfam family "Bacterial small subunit ribosomal RNA", at positions 339 to 795 of the family's 1533-position model. The record is from RNAcentral.
CUACGGGAUGCUCCAGUGGGGAAUAUUGCACAAUGGGCGCAAGCCUGAUGCAGCCAUGCCGCGUGUAUGAAGAAGGCCUUCGGGUUGUAAAGUACUUUCAGCGGGGAGGAAGGGAGUAAAGUUAAUACCUUUGCUCAUUGACGUUACCCGCAGAAGAAGCACCGGCUAACUCCGUGCCAGCAGCCGCGGUAAUACGGAGGGUGCAAGCGUUAAUCGGAAUUACUGGGCGUAAAGCGCACGCAGGCGGUUUGUUAAGUCAGAUGUGAAAUCCCCGGGCUCAACCUGGGAACUGCAUAUGAUACUAGCAGGCUAGAGUCUCGUAGAGGGGGGUAGAAUUCCAGGUGUAGCGGUGAAAUGCGUAGAGAUCUGGAGGAAUACCGGUGGCGAAGGCGGCCCCCUGGACGAAGACUGACGCUCAGGUGCGAAAGCGUGGGGAGCAAACAGGAUUAGAUACCCGAGUAGUC